RNAcentral lists this ribosomal RNA (452 nucleotides) under uncultured bacterium. RNAcentral describes it as "partial 16S ribosomal RNA". It matches the Rfam family "Bacterial small subunit ribosomal RNA", at positions 29 to 523 of the family's 1533-position model. The record is from RNAcentral.
AGCGAACGCUGGCGGCAGGCCUAACACAUGCAAGUCGAGCGGCCGUAGCAAUACGGCAGCGGCAGACGGGAGAGUAACACGUGGGAACGCGCCCUUCGGUUCGGAAUAACUCAGGGAAACUUGGGCUAAUACCGGAUACGCCCUUACGGGGAAAGAUUUAUUGCCGAAGGAACGGCCCGCGUCCGAUUAGCUUGUUGGUGAGGUAACGGCUCACCAAGGCGACGAUCGGUAGCUGGUCGGAGAGGAUGACCAGCCUCACUCGGGACUGAGACACGGCCCAUACUCCUACGGGAGGCAGCAGUGGGGAAUAUUGGACAAUGGGCGCAAGCCUGAUCCAGCCAUGCCGCGUGGGUGAUGAAGGCCCUAGGGUUGUAAAGCCCUUUCGGCGGGGAAGAUAAUGACGGUACCCGCAGAAGAAGCCCCGGCUAACUUCGUGCCAGCCGCCGCCGUAA